AAUGUAAAAAAAGAUUUUCCUCUUAACAUGAUUUAGGAAGAUUUUAUUUUUUUGGAUGUUGUCAGAAAUUACAGCAAUAUAUUCAUAAAUACCUAAUUACUACAUUCAACAAAUAAUAUUACAAUACAAUUAAUUCAAACAAGUACACUUAGAACAGGUUUAAUUUCACAGCAUCUAAAUUGCCCCCAGAGUGACUGAGGCACUGUUGUUCCUCCCUUCCACCCACGGAUGGGUUUACUGUUCUAGCAGUUAAGCACAGGGUACAAACAAAGUAACACAACCAGUUAGCAUGGUCUUCCUCAGGUCAAGGCAGAGUUACGGAGUUUAAGUUAAGCACUGACUCAAAAAGUUGGGGACAGGCUACAGCAAGUAGUAAAGAGCUUGGUUACUUGGGUAGAGUAUAGAGGUUGUUGCUAAGUGGCUAAUAUACACUUUAGAGUAACAGAAUGUGUGCUGACCAUCUCCACCUUGUGGUGGGUCCUUGGAAUUUUCUGGCUUCAAAUGGCUCAGAGGGAAAGGGGGCAUUUGGUUUGAAAUUGAGCUUAAUUUUUGAAAUCUGGCAGUAUUGUGAGCUACUUGAGUACAACACCAUUCUGCUCUACAAACUUAAGAUUUUCUGUUAUAAUUCUUUGCUGAAUGUGUGGGCUUAAUACUCUUAAUAUUCUUAAGGGUUCAAUCUAUUAGAAUGUUAAUGCCAAUUAAGUGUUUUAUUUUAAGAUUAGAUCCUAUCGUGGUCUCUUUUCUGAGAGUGGAACAGGAGCAUAUGUCCAUUUGGCUCGGAUUGUAUAACACAAACAAAAAGUUUCUGAUUUAAUGUGGAACUACAAGAUUUAGCGUUGGAAGGUGUCCCUCACAAGUUUAGUGAAGUCUCCUUCAGAGGAGAGAUGGCACCAUCAAUUGAGGUAAUGCAGGAAGACCAGAAGAAUGGAGGUCUUCCCGUAAAUACCGACUGACACACAGGCUGCAUAAUCAGUUCUAGAACAAAUUUAAUGUACUUCUCAUCUGUCUUUUAAACUCAAUGUGAAAUACCUGAACAGAGUUUAAGAGUGCGUAUUUGUCAGUUUUUGGUAAGCCCAACUGAAAAUACAAGCUACUGUGUUCUUUCAGAAUCAUCUGAAAAUAAGUAUCUUCAGAUUGUAAGACUGUUAGAUGGGAAAACCAUUAUGGGUGCUUAGUGGUGCCCUCUUGUUUUCAAGAGAUACUUUCUUCCUUUUUCUUAGCUGAUUCAUACUGCCUUACUGGUUUGUAAUUGUAUUCUGAUUGUCUUAUUACUUCUCAAGCACAAGAAUAUUCAGCAAUAGAGAAGCUCAAGGGCAGGGUAGAGAUGGUGUUUCCACUAGGAGGAGAGAAAGCAGUUGUUACUAGCUCAGCGACACCCCCACAGACCUUUCUCAGUGCACUGCUUGUCCCAUGUGCCAUGAACUACCCCCAGACAAAAAAGCCAACCAAGGGAGCUCCCCUUGGACGUAGGGACAGGGCUGUGCUUUUUUUUUUUUCAUUAAGUUAUUAGAUCUGCUUUUUCCUUUUACUUCCCCCAAGGCCCAUUACCAAAGCUGAUUAGCAAAAGCAUCCAGACAUCUGUGAUGCAGGAGGCGGCCUGGGAGUGCUAAGAUGUGACUGUUAAGCCUUCAGACCCGAAAUAGCAAGCGGAUUUUAGGUGGAGAAAUUCAGUGAUAUUUUGUCCUGACUGUUGUCAAUGCAGCUCCCUCUACACACCUGUGGAACAUGUCUGCAGGGGAGGAGGCCCACAGUACAGCCUUUAGUUUUCUUCCAGUCACUUCUGUGGAGAGGAAGGUGCUUGUUGACUGCUGAUAAUACUGGUGGCACUUUUUGUCUGUUUGCUAAUAACUGGAAGAUUCUUGGCAGACGUACAAAGCAAACUGUGUGCAGGCAGAUAAAGCGACACAAUGCCAGCUGCCAGCAAGCUGUUCUGCACAGCAAGGUCUGGGGUUGAGGGCUGGGCCGCUGAGCACAGUGGUGAGGAGCUGCACAAAGGUCAGCCAUCUUGCCCCCAGGCCCUAUCUCCUCCCCUGCUCCCGCCCCCAGACCAGCAACAUUCUUGGCCUUUGGUUGGGACCCAUUCGGGCAAGAAAUGCCCCCUGAGCUAGAUAACACUGCCUGAAUGAGCAUUAACUGGACAAGGAGGAAACACUUCCCCCAUGGCUUCGUCCUAGUGUGAUCAGCCCAGUUUCUGGCCACUCCUGUGCUCAUCCCACAGUAAGUUCAAAAGGAGGGGUUCAGCUCAGACAUUGUUUAUCCUACUUUAGGCUUUUACAAAGCUUUGCAUCUAAAUAAAGCCUCUAAAGUUUCUACUCUGCACCUGCUUUCAGGCAUCUUAGAAUUCUAUCGCGGAAAUCGUUUCCUGAAAGGUUCUUUUUAAAAGCUUCACUUCUGUGUGUACACACAGAUGUCACACAUAGUCUGGUGGGAACAAGGUGGAUCCUAGCAACCGGUCACAUUUGCUAUUAGCGUGUCCAAAUGCUGGGGUGAGAAGUAGCACACAGCUUUCUACGAAAAGUUCUGGUGUAGCUCAGAUUAAAAUGAAGUGACCGCAUAGGCGCCAGUGGUAAGCUCUUUUACUUUUUCUUCUUUAAUUUUUAAAAACUUCAUUAUUUUAAUGUCCUGACCAGCAGCAGUACAAACACUAAAAGCAAGGGUUUUUUUGCCCAGAAAACAAAACAAAAACCCCCAAACAGGAAAAACAAACAAAAAUCCCCCAAACCACAUAUUAAAAAUGGCAGGCUUUUUAUAACAAUAAUUAAAGUAAUAAAAACAUACAAAACUUUUUUUUAAUAUAUAUAUACACAGUACAAGGCUGAAGCACCUUUGACUUUUCUCUCAAUUUAUGUUUGUAUGAAAACACCACCCACUGCAGUAACAAUUUGGUAGGUGUGAAUAUAUGUAUACAUAGAGCUCUGUACAUUUCCCCCCAAGGAGUAAUAAAAAGGUACCUUCA
Galeopterus variegatus (Sunda flying lemur) is the source of this 2956-nucleotide long non-coding RNA. RefSeq lists it as uncharacterized. The transcript is spliced from 2 exons. The record is from RefSeq and is a predicted model, not a curated record. NCBI's taxonomy places the organism in Eukaryota, Metazoa, Chordata, Mammalia, Dermoptera, Cynocephalidae.